GUUAAUGUAGCUUAUAUACCAAAGCAAGGCACUGAAAAUGCCUAGAUGGAUUACAUAAUCCCAUAAACA
This 69-nucleotide transfer RNA is filed under the name Castor canadensis (American beaver). RNAcentral's name for it is "tRNA-Phe". It matches the Rfam family "tRNA". From Rfam's summary of the family: Transfer RNA (tRNA) molecules are approximately 80 nucleotides in length. Their secondary structure includes four short double-helical elements and three loops (D, anti-codon, and T loops). Further hydrogen bonds mediate the characteristic L-shaped molecular structure. tRNAs have two regions of fundamental functional importance: the anti-codon, which is responsible for specific mRNA codon recognition, and the 3' end, to which the tRNAs corresponding amino acid is attached (by aminoacyl-tRNA synthetases). tRNAs cope with the degeneracy of the genetic code in two manners: having more than one tRNA (with a specific anti-codon) for a particular amino acid; and 'wobble' base-pairing, i.e. permitting non-standard base-pairing at the 3rd anti-codon position. Lineage: Eukaryota; Metazoa; Chordata; Mammalia; Rodentia; Castoridae. The record is from RNAcentral.